This 109-nucleotide ribosomal RNA is filed under the name uncultured bacterium. RNAcentral describes it as "partial 16S ribosomal RNA". The record is from RNAcentral.
AAGGAAGACGGCCCUACGGGUUGUAAACUUCCUUUUGUACAGGAAAAAACCACCGGUCGUGAACCGGUGCUGAUGGUACUGUAAGAAUAAGGAUCGGCUAACUCCGUGC